UUGACGGGGCCCGCACAAGCGGUGGAGUAUGUGGUUUAAUUCGACGCAACGCGCAGAACCUUACCUAGACUUGACAUCCCGGGGAUUUUCUGGAAACAGAGAAGUGCUUUAGCAAUAAAGAACCCGGUGACAGGUGCUGCAUGGCUGUCGUCAGCUCGUGUCGUGAGAUGUUGGGUUAAGUCCCGCAACGAGCGCAACCCUCGCCUUUAGUUGCCAGCAUUCAGUUGGGCACUCUAGAGGGACUGCCGGUGUCAAACCGGAGGAAGGUGGGGAUGACGUCAAGUCCUCAUGGCCUUUAUGUCUAGGGCUACACACGUACUACAAUGGCCGGUACAAAGGGCAGCCACUCAGCGAUGAGGCGCUAAUCCCAUAAAGCCGGUCUUAGUCCGGAUCGCAGUCUGCAACUCGACUGCGUGAAGUUGGAAUCGCUAGUAAUCGUAGAUCAGCAUGCUACGGUGAAUACGUUCCCGGGCCUU
RNAcentral lists this ribosomal RNA (476 nucleotides) under uncultured Desulfovibrio sp. RNAcentral describes it as "bacterial SSU rRNA". It matches the Rfam family "Bacterial small subunit ribosomal RNA", at positions 910 to 1382 of the family's 1533-position model. The record is from RNAcentral. Lineage: Bacteria; Pseudomonadati; Thermodesulfobacteriota; Desulfovibrionia; Desulfovibrionales; Desulfovibrionaceae.